UUAACUAAAAUUUGUGUGGAGUUGGAAGGUUUGCCUCUGUUUGCCACUAGGGGUGCUGUUCCGACUGCAUACAAAUUUGAGUUA
Molecule: non-coding RNA, 84 nt
Organism: Bombyx mori (domestic silkworm)
Lineage: Eukaryota; Metazoa; Arthropoda; Insecta; Lepidoptera; Bombycidae
Source: Rfam